UUCUCCCAGUGAGAACUUUUAAUGGGCGGUUUCAGAGCCAGGAGACUCAAGGGCCAGGGCUCUUAACGUCUCAAACAAGGCAUUCACUUUUGUAAACCCCCUUCCCUGCAGCUACCACUCCACUCUCAUCCUUGCCAACUCCCACUGUUGCGCUGGAUCACUCUGCUCGGUCACGCGGCCUCUCGACCCAGUUCGUUCGCACUUCCGGGAAGCCCAAAUCCUGUCUCGGCCGUACUUGGCUUACCCGCCGCUCUCCUCUGAGUCGAGUGGCAGACUUGCCUGGGUUUCUCCAGUUGUUGGUUUUUCAUCCCGGGUCAACCCUGAUGCUCCUUUCCCACCCCAGGCUACUGCAAAUCUUCCCGAAUCCUCACAGCCCCGAGCUCUCCCACCACGUCCGCCG
This 400-nucleotide long non-coding RNA is filed under the name Rattus norvegicus (Norway rat). RNAcentral's name for it is "long non-coding RNA NONRATT006436". Lineage: Eukaryota; Metazoa; Chordata; Mammalia; Rodentia; Muridae. The record is from RNAcentral.